RNAcentral lists this ribosomal RNA (244 nucleotides) under uncultured Nocardioides sp. Its description in RNAcentral is "partial 16S ribosomal RNA". It matches the Rfam family "Bacterial small subunit ribosomal RNA", at positions 796 to 1041 of the family's 1533-position model. Lineage: Bacteria; Bacillati; Actinomycetota; Actinomycetes; Propionibacteriales; Nocardioidaceae. The record is from RNAcentral.
CACACCGUAAACGUUGGGCGCUAGGUGUGGGGCCUAUUCCAUGGGUUCCGUGCCGCAGCUAACGCAUUAAGCGCCCCGCCUGGGGAGUACGGCCGCAAGGCUAAAACUCAAAGGAAUUGACGGGGGCCCGCACAAGCGGCGGAGCAUGCGGAUUAAUUCGAUGCAACGCGAAGAACCUUACCUGGGUUUGACAUAUGCCGGAAAGCCCCAGAGAUGGGGCCCCUUUUAGUCGGUAUACAGGUGG